AAAGUCGUAACAAGGUUUCCGUAGGUGAACCUGCGGAAGGAUCAUUCAUAAUAAGUGUUUUAUGGCACUUUUAAAAAUCCAUAUCCACCUUGUGUGCAAUGUUUUAAAAAAAAAAGUGGGAAUAAGAAAAAAAAAGAAAUUCUUUUUGAUCUUGUUUUCCUUUUUUUUUUUUUCUAUAACAAACUCUUUAUUUUUUUAACAUAUCGUCUGAAAACUAUUAUGAAUACUUAAUUCAAAAUACAACUUUCAACAACGGAUCUCUUGGCUCUC
This 270-nucleotide unclassified non-coding RNA is filed under the name Mucoromycotina sp. RNAcentral's name for it is "partial contains small subunit ribosomal RNA, internal transcribed spacer 1, and 5.8S ribosomal RNA". The stretch from base 1 to 47 matches the Rfam family "Eukaryotic small subunit ribosomal RNA", at positions 1785 to 1831 of the family's 1831-position model. Lineage: Eukaryota; Fungi; Mucoromycota. The record is from RNAcentral.